This is a long non-coding RNA of Neofelis nebulosa (Clouded leopard), 417 nucleotides long. RefSeq lists it as uncharacterized. The transcript is spliced from 3 exons. The record is from RefSeq and is a predicted model, not a curated record. Lineage: Eukaryota; Metazoa; Chordata; Mammalia; Carnivora; Felidae.
UGUUGGUCUUCAGUCAGUUCAUACUGAUACAGCUGAACCAGUUAUUCAAAGCCAUCCAUUUUUAUUAGUCACAGUUUUUGUUGUUAUCCAUCAGCACAUGGAUUACUCCAAUUAUUAAGAAUUUUGAACAUCAUUCCUACAGAAACCAGGACUUUUGAAGAAAUGGCUGACUCCAAAUAUGGCACAGGAAACAGAAAAAAAUGUACCUGGGAUAUCUUGUCACUUCUGAAAGCAAGGGCAACAUCAAUGAAAAAAUCAAAACAUACCUGGUAAAGGGUCCAAAACAUCACUAUGAGUAGGAAGAUAAGCAACCAAAGUCACAACAAGAGAGCAAGUAACACAUUCCAAAAAACAGGCCUGAAGGGCCAGGCCCUGGGCAGUGUAUAACCCCUCUAUAAUAUAGUAGUCUCACAGGUG